Molecule: ribosomal RNA, 253 nt
Filed under: uncultured bacterium
Lineage: Bacteria
Description: partial 16S ribosomal RNA
Rfam family: Bacterial small subunit ribosomal RNA
Source: RNAcentral
UACAGAGGGGGCAAGCGUUAUUCGGAAUUAUUGGGCGUAAAGGGCGCGUAGGCGGCUUUGCAAGUGACGGGUGAAAUCCCUCGGCUUAACCGAGGAACUGCCUGUCAGACUGCAUGGCUUGAGACCAGGAGAGGUGAGUGGAAUUCCCAGUGUAGCGGUGAAAUGCGUAGAUAUUGGGAGGAACACCAGUGGCGAAGGCGGCUCACUGGACUGGUACUGACGCUGAGGCGCGAAAGCGUGGGGAGCAAACGGG